UCCCAUGUACGGCGGAGCCUGGUAGGCUACUGUCCAUGGGGUUGCAAAGAGUGGGACACGACUGAGUGAAGGGAAGAUUGUGUUAGGAUGAUGGGAUUAGCAGGGCUUUAAAAGGGGCUUCCUAGUAGCUCAGAAGGUAAGGAAUCUGCCUACAAUGCAGGACCCUGGGUUCAAUCCUUGGGUUAGGAAGAUCCCCUGGAGAAGAGAAUGGAAACCCACUCCAGUAUUCUAGCUUGGAGAAUUCCAUGGACAGACGAGGCUGGGAAGGCUACAGGGUGGCUCUUGUUCCUCCUGCAGAGGACAGUCUCCCCUGGAAGCUUCACAACCAGCGUUUGAGACGCUUUUGCUCCCAGCCCCAAGCCGUCGUGCGGAAGAGCUUCUGUGAGCUGUGCCCAUGCCCUGGUAUUUGCAGAGAAAAUCCGGAUCCUAGUCAGGCCGCCCAGAUUUUCCCCAGAGAUUGUGAGGUCAAGUAUUCUUCAGAUCAGGGUAGGGGGGCCUGACUUGCAUAAAAUAAAAUAAAAUUUUUUUAAACCGCAAUUUUUAAAAAAAAACCCUGCUCUGCCACAUCUUCCCGUGAUUCCACUUCGAAUUCGAGACUUACAUCUACAGCCUGUGGUAUCAAAAUUACCAUCCCAGCCAUCUUCCCUGCUUGGCUGGGAGCUCCUUGGGAGUCGAAACUGUAUCUUUUACUUCUCCGUCUCAUUAAAACUCGGCUUGGG
Molecule: long non-coding RNA, 719 nt
Organism: Bubalus bubalis (water buffalo)
Lineage: Eukaryota; Metazoa; Chordata; Mammalia; Artiodactyla; Bovidae
Exons: 2
Source: RefSeq, a predicted model, not a curated record